This 742-nucleotide long non-coding RNA is filed under the name Populus trichocarpa (black cottonwood). Its description in RNAcentral is "long non-coding RNA (PTRI_LNC001874)". Lineage: Eukaryota; Viridiplantae; Streptophyta; Magnoliopsida; Malpighiales; Salicaceae. The record is from RNAcentral.
GGUUAACCGAAAACUGAACCGAAUUUAUCGAAACCACAACCAGACAGCCGAAAACUGACCCUAAUCAUACUCGCCUAAUAAGCCAAUUCUCAAGGUUGGUGGCCCCAGGGGAGAUAAUUUGUCAUACAAAUAGGACAAGGGAUGUUUUAACUUUAAUGCCAAGAAAAAGAGAAAAGGGAAAAAGUUCUAGUCAGGUGAUAGAUACUGAAGUUACAAGCUAUUUCAGGAGAUAUCGUGAUCCAGCUGUUGCUCCUGCUGCUCUCUCUCAUUAAUGUUCUAAGAGCAUACAAAAUGAAGUCUUGGCGAGUCUCUCCCGCUCAAUGCUUUCACAUAAACGGUAGCCAUUAGGAAAGUAUUUUAAAUUUAAGAUGCUUUUGAGGGGUAUGGCCGUAUAGGUUCGUGUAUAGUCCUGCUAUCGACUUCUUCCACUGAUAAUGUCAGGUUCAUGCAAGACAAAUACCGAAUACAAAAUUCUUUAUGCAUGAGAAUGGAAAGUAUCAAACUCAAGAUAUCUGUUGCUUUUGCCCCAGUAGAGCUGUUAAAUCACCCCAAGAAAAGGUUGGCGAAGAGCAAUUGAAACGGAACCUAAAACAUGUUUAAUAGCAUUUACACAAUCUAAAUCACCGAUUGCAUCACAUCACAAUUGCAUCUGGAUUCCAGCAAGGAAAGCUAAGCAGCAUGGACGUGUGCCUACUCAAAAUUCUAACAGAAUGUGUUCAUUUCUAUGAGAAACUAAAUGAGA